RNAcentral lists this ribosomal RNA (506 nucleotides) under uncultured bacterium. RNAcentral describes it as "partial 16S ribosomal RNA". It matches the Rfam family "Bacterial small subunit ribosomal RNA", at positions 29 to 523 of the family's 1533-position model. The record is from RNAcentral.
AGUGAACGCUGGCGGUAGGCCUAACACAUGCAAGUCGAACGGCAGCACAGGAGAGCUUGCUCUCUGGGUGGCGAGUGGCGGACGGGUGAGGAAUACAUCGGAAUCUACUCUGUCGUGGGGGAUAACGUAGGGAAACUUACGCUAAUACCGCAUACGACCUACGGGUGAACGCAGGGGAUCUUCGGACCUUGCGCGAUCGAAUGAGCCGAUGUCGGAUUAGGUAGUUGGCGGGGUAAAGGCCCACCAAGGCGACGAUCCGUAGCUGGUCUGAGAGGAUGAUCAGCCACACUGGAACUGAGACACGGUCCAGACUCCUACGGGAGGCAGCAGUGGGGAAUAUUGGACAAUGGGCGCAAGCCUGAUCCAGCCAUACCGCGUGGGUGAAGAAGGCCUUCGGGUUGUAAAGCCCUUUUGUUGGGAAAGAAAUCCAGCUGGCUAAUACCCGGUUGGGAUGACGGUACCCAAAGAAUAAGCACCGGCUAACUUCGUGCCAGCCGCCGCCGUAA